UGGAGAGUCCAUACAGGUAGAAGCCAUAGGAAUCAAGAUGUUGAAGUUACCUUUGGGUAAAGUUUUAGAACUGAAAACCUGUUAUUACAUUCCUAAAAUUAUUAGACAUAUUAUUUCUAUACUUCUGUUAUUAGAACAAGAUUUUGAAAUAAAAACUAAAAGCAAUGGUUGUUCUAUUUAUCUUUCUAAUGUAUUUUAUAGAAAUAC
This 207-nucleotide long non-coding RNA is filed under the name Elaeis guineensis (African oil palm). RNAcentral describes it as "long non-coding RNA (EGUI_LNC074547)". Lineage: Eukaryota; Viridiplantae; Streptophyta; Magnoliopsida; Arecales; Arecaceae. The record is from RNAcentral.